This 446-nucleotide ribosomal RNA is filed under the name uncultured bacterium. Its description in RNAcentral is "bacterial SSU rRNA". It matches the Rfam family "Bacterial small subunit ribosomal RNA", at positions 329 to 792 of the family's 1533-position model. The record is from RNAcentral.
UGCCAGACUCCUACGGGAGGCAGCAGUGGGGAAUAUUGCACAAUGGGGGAAACCCUGAUGCAGCAACGCCGCGUGAGUGAAGAAGUAUUUCGGUAUGUAAAGCUCUAUCAGCAGGGAAGAAGAUGACGGUACCUGAGUAAGAAGCCCCGGCUAACUACGUGCCAGCAGCCGCGGUAAUACGUAGGGGGCAAGCGUUAUCCGGAUUUACUGGGUGUAAAGGGAGCGUAGACGGUGAGACAAGUCUGAAGUGAAAGCCCGGGGCUCAACCCCGGGACUGCUUUGGAAACUGCCUGACUGGAGUGCUGGAGAGGCAAGCGGAAUUCCUAGUGUAGCGGUGAAAUGCGUAGAUAUUAGGAAGAACACCAGUGGCGAAGGCGGCUUGCUGGACAGUAACUGACGUUGAGGCUCGAAAGCGUGGGGAGCAAACAGGAUUAGAUACCCGAGUA